Molecule: ribosomal RNA, 1528 nt
Filed under: Klebsiella pneumoniae CHS 30
Lineage: Bacteria; Pseudomonadati; Pseudomonadota; Gammaproteobacteria; Enterobacterales; Enterobacteriaceae
Description: bacterial SSU rRNA
Rfam family: Bacterial small subunit ribosomal RNA
Source: RNAcentral
AGAGUUUGAUCAUGGCUCAGAUUGAACGCUGGCGGCAGGCCUAACACAUGCAAGUCGAGCGGUAGCACAGAGAGCUUGCUCUCGGGUGACGAGCGGCGGACGGGUGAGUAAUGUCUGGGAAACUGCCUGAUGGAGGGGGAUAACUACUGGAAACGGUAGCUAAUACCGCAUAAUGUCGCAAGACCAAAGUGGGGGACCUUCGGGCCUCAUGCCAUCAGAUGUGCCCAGAUGGGAUUAGCUUGUAGGUGGGGUAACGGCUCACCUAGGCGACGAUCCCUAGCUGGUCUGAGAGGAUGACCAGCCACACUGGAACUGAGACACGGUCCAGACUCCUACGGGAGGCAGCAGUGGGGAAUAUUGCACAAUGGGCGCAAGCCUGAUGCAGCCAUGCCGCGUGUGUGAAGAAGGCCUUCGGGUUGUAAAGCACUUUCAGCGGGGAGGAAGGCGAUAAGGUUAAUAACCUUGUCGAUUGACGUUACCCGCAGAAGAAGCACCGGCUAACUCCGUGCCAGCAGCCGCGGUAAUACGGAGGGUGCAAGCGUUAAUCGGAAUUACUGGGCGUAAAGCGCACGCAGGCGGUCUGUCAAGUCGGAUGUGAAAUCCCCGGGCUCAACCUGGGAACUGCAUUCGAAACUGGCAGGCUAGAGUCUUGUAGAGGGGGGUAGAAUUCCAGGUGUAGCGGUGAAAUGCGUAGAGAUCUGGAGGAAUACCGGUGGCGAAGGCGGCCCCCUGGACAAAGACUGACGCUCAGGUGCGAAAGCGUGGGGAGCAAACAGGAUUAGAUACCCUGGUAGUCCACGCCGUAAACGAUGUCGAUUUGGAGGUUGUGCCCUUGAGGCGUGGCUUCCGGAGCUAACGCGUUAAAUCGACCGCCUGGGGAGUACGGCCGCAAGGUUAAAACUCAAAUGAAUUGACGGGGGCCCGCACAAGCGGUGGAGCAUGUGGUUUAAUUCGAUGCAACGCGAAGAACCUUACCUGGUCUUGACAUCCACAGAACUUUCCAGAGAUGGAUUGGUGCCUUCGGGAACUGUGAGACAGGUGCUGCAUGGCUGUCGUCAGCUCGUGUUGUGAAAUGUUGGGUUAAGUCCCGCAACGAGCGCAACCCUUAUCCUUUGUUGCCAGCGGUCCGGCCGGGAACUCAAAGGAGACUGCCAGUGAUAAACUGGAGGAAGGUGGGGUUGACGUCAAGUCAUCAUGGCCCUUACGACCAGGGCUACACACGUGCUACAAUGGCAUAUACAAAGAGAAGCGACCUCGCGAGAGCAAGCGGACCUCAUAAAGUAUGUCGUAGUCCGGAUUGGAGUCUGCAACUCGACUCCAUGAAGUCGGAAUCGCUAGUAAUCGUAGAUCAGAAUGCUACGGUGAAUACGUUCCCGGGCCUUGUACACACCGCCCGUCACACCAUGGGAGUGGGUUGCAAAAGAAGUAGGUAGCUUAACCUUCGGGAGGGCGCUUACCACUUUGUGAUUCAUGACUGGGGUGAAGUCGUAACAAGGUAACCGUAGGGGAACCUGCGGUUGGAUCACCU